RNAcentral lists this ribosomal RNA (549 nucleotides) under uncultured bacterium. Its description in RNAcentral is "bacterial SSU rRNA". It matches the Rfam family "Bacterial small subunit ribosomal RNA", at positions 356 to 896 of the family's 1533-position model. The record is from RNAcentral.
AGGGAAUCUUCGGCAAUGGACGGAAGUCUGACCGAGCAACGCCGCGUGAGUGAAGAAGGUUUUCGGAUCGUAAGGCUCUGUUGUAAGAGAAGAACGAGUGUGAGAGUGGAAAGUUCACACUGUGACGGUAUCUUACCAGAAAGGGACGGCUAACUACGUGCCAGCAGCCGCGGUAAUACGUAGGUCCCGAGCGUUGUCCGGAUUUAUUGGGCGUAAAGCGAGCGCAGGCGGUUAGAUAAGUCUGAAGUUAAAGGCUGUGGCUUAACCAUAGUACGCUUUGGAAACUGUUUAACUUGAGUGCAAGAGGGGAGAGUGGAAUUCCAUGUGUAGCGGUGAAAUGCGUAGAUAUAUGGAGGAACACCGGUGGCGAAAGCGGCUCUCUGGCUUGUAACUGACGCUGAGGCUCGAAAGCGUGGGGAGCAAACAGGAUUAGAUACCCUGGUAGUCCACGCCGUAAACGAUGAGUGCUAGGUGUUAGACCCUUUCCGGGGUUUAGUGCCGUAGCUAACGCAUUAAGCACUCCGCCUGGGGAGUACGACCGCAAGGUUG